AACUUCGGGAGGCGCGGACCGCCCGGCCCCGUGCGCCCCUCUCUUCCCUCGGCCUCAGCGCUGCUCCGUCCUCAGCCCGGAGUGAGCAGAGAGCGGACCCCGCGGUGGCGCACGGCCAGGCUGCUUCCCGUGGCCUGGGAGCGGCUGAGCUACUCUGGGCCAAGCCGGCAAAACAGUGUGCCCUUCGCCGGCCUGCGGAGCCCGCGAGGACCCCGCAGGCCGAGUGCCGCCAGCUGGGACCCCCCCCGGGCCGCUUUGAGGCCACUGGCUGAGACCCGGGCCCAGCGCCCCGCAGCGUCCGCCCUCGGCCCGCGGGGUUCUCCCUCACGCGGACCUGCCACGUGGCCUGGACGGAGGCCGUUCGGCCUGGGCAUCAGGAUGAAGCCUGGUCCUGGGUCUACACUGGGGCGGGCCCUGUCCCUGGUGAGCAGAGCCACAGCUCCCUGGUCUGCAGCUGUGAGGAUGCUCCAGGCCUAGGGACUCGGACAGCACCAGGAAGUCUCGCCUGGGAUUAGCGACAGUGUGACCCGCGAGAGAACCCCAGCGCUGCCUGGACCUGGGACUGUCUCUCCAGCGUCCUGCUAAGCAAACACCAGUGUGGCAUUUCAAGGUGACAGGUAAACACAGGGCCGCUGGUCCCGCCCAGCCGCUGUGAGGUGAAGAAGCUCUGGGGCCUGGACAGGGGUGGGGUGCGCUUUGUCCGGACUCCACGGUUCUUCCAGUGUCCCCGCCUCGGGGGCACGAGCUGAGGGGUCCUGGACCCUGCACGAUGUCAGUAUGGUAACACAGGGCAGGCGGCCUGGGCACCAGCAAGGCUGCCGGCCAUCCCGCCCCCCCCCCCGAGAGCGGGCGAGGGCUGUGGAUUCUGCCUCACUCUCUGACUAGGACAGGGGCUGGGGUUACUCCCCACUGCACCCCACCCCUGCAAGCUGGAGCUACAGGAGGGGGAGGGGGAGAGAGGGAGGGCCUUGCCUGCAAAUUGUCCCUGGAAGAGGGAAGGGGAGGGCGCAGGGCAGGGUGGGAGCCACAAACUUGACCCUGCGCCUCAGGAGUUCCGAGGCGGCCCUGCCACUCCCAUUGGGCGUCAGUUGGUCCAGCAGUUAAGCGGGGCCCAUAGCCCCAAGGCCCAUCUGGGAGAAGGGCUCCGCAGGCCUCGGGUCUGCCUGAAUCCUUUUCAGAGGGUCCCGGGCUGUCUCCAAGGGGACAAACAGGCUCACCGGCUUGCUUGGUCUCUGCUGGCCCAAGAGGACGAGCGGGUCCGGGCUCCCCAGCGAAGCGGAGGAAGACGUCGGGAGGGCGGGGGACCCGCGAGCCAGGCCCCUCCCCGACCCACCGCCUCCGAAGCCGCCUCCCUGAGCGGACCUAGGGGUCGCUGCGAGGACGGAGUCUUCCCCGGCCCCGGGGGUUUCUAAGUGAAAACCCCGAAAUAAUUCUCCAGGAUUCCGAGGUUCUGCUGCCCAGAGGCCUCAAAGGAGAAAGAGGAGGCUGGGGAGGGGACAUUUGGAGUCAGGGCCCCCGCAUCCAUGUGGCCCCGGUUGUCUUCCUUGCGCGUUGUCAUCCACGCGUGGACUGUGCCAUGGACCCCAGCCCGGCCUCCGCCCGGCCGCGCCCUGCUUUAGGAGUCUGGGUAGUGAUCAUCAGGACUCUGCACCUUUCCCCAGUAGGAGCUGGGGUGUCACCCGCUGGGGACCGGGCCAUGGACAAGUACUGGGUGGUCGGUGGUGUCCAAGGAGACCCUCGCCGAGCGCAGACUGCAGCCCCACGCGUGGAACCGUCUGGGCACCCGGGCCCCUCGAGGCCUGGACCCGUGAGUGAGGCCCUCUGUGCUUGUGGCUGGAGUCGCCGGGAGCUCAGGGAGGCAACACCCAGCCCCCAGGCCCAGAGGCACAGAAUGAUCCCCAGGCGUCACAGUAGGACGGUCCCCAAGCCCUCAGAGUGGCCUGAGCUCCAGCGAGCGCGGUGGGGCCUGCAGGACCACAGUGUGGCUGUCCCGAGUGUCACAGGAAGCGCAUUACAUGCGUGUGCACACACGUAAAUAUUUUAUAAAUCUCCCCUUAAUUAACCAGAUCAUCUCCAUUACGCCUCCGACAGGAUCGGCAGCGACGGCGAGCAUUUUCAGGGUUUAUAAUUUGAUGUCACCAGACGGUUGCUCCGGGGCAGAGGCACAAUUGCCGUGCCAGCUGCGCUUGUAUUUAUUUGUUUUCUGCGGUGUUCCUGUAGGGCUCCAUUAUGCAGUUUUUAAUUAGUUUGUGUUUGUAUUUCACCCGUCCCAAAUCAAUGCCAUCCCGGAGCAAGGCGAUGUAAAUUCUUGCAGUACAGGUGUUGCAGCCUGCUCCGUACACCAGCGAACGCGUGUCUGACAAAUGAAAGCCGGGCUGCCAUGCAGCGGCUGUCAGCUCUCCCCAGCCAGAGUCGCAGAUCAAAGCCCUGGGUGAGAGGGUGGGGAGGCAGCCCUGAGCCGCCCAAGGGGAGCUGGGCGGGCGGAGCCUUGUGGGCGCUCGCUCUGCGUUUCCCUGGGGUCCUGGGAUCCUUUAGCUGUUGCUGCUCUGUGCUGCCCUUGAGGCCUGGAGGACAGGGCUCUGGAGGCCCGGCCCGGAGCAGGGCGUCCUGCCGUCACGGGGUCUCUCUAACUGAGGAGCAGUCACCAGCAUAGUCUUGCACAGCCAGCCCCUCGCUGAGUUUGCUGGCUUUUCUCUCUUGAAACGACUUCCUUGGAGAGCAUUCAAAUCUGGCCCUCUUGUCACAGGGGAUUCUUGCAAAGCUUUCUUUCUUUCUUUUUCUCUUUCUGUUUUCUUUUUUUUCUUUCUUUCUUUUUUGGUUAGGAAUAAGAGCCUGUUCAUCUUUAACUAGGCCAAUAGAAAUUAUGAUUCAACAGCAGUGUAUAUUUAAUUAGGGUAAUCUCACUUGAAUUUAAUUACCUAAUGAAUUAUUUGUUUAAAAGGUACGACAUCUUGUUUGCCAAGUGCCAGGGAGGCAGGCCUCUGAUAAGGACUUCAGUGCUCAGGGCACUGCAGCGGGAAGCAGGCAAGCUGAGGGGCUAGGCUUGCGCUGGGACUGGUACAGCAGCCUAGCCCUAGCCAUGGGGGGGUGUCAUUCCCAUCUGCAGCACAGAACCCUCUCCUGCUCUUGUGCACAGUGACAGCCUCGGACUCUCCGGCUUACUGGGCUGCUUUGCUGGAGAAGUUAUUCCGUGCUGUUCUCAGUGGCAUUUUCCUCCUCCUCUGGCCAGAAGGGACGGUUAUCUGCUAGAGGGGUCACCUUCAGAUUAGCAUUAUGGUGAAGAGGCAAAGCGGGCAUGAAUCUCCAGUGCCCAGCACCCGAGUGCCCUUCCCGGACCCUGACACAGCCACACCAGUGGCCGGAAGUCUUCCCAAGAAGCGUGAAACCCACGCCAUACGUUACAGCCCAGACUCGGCCCUUAACCUUUGGUUCUGCACGGGGGCCAGGUCCUUUCUUCUCAUUUCCCAAAACAAGAGCAGCCAGCGAGCCUCCCACCCUCUCAUCAGAAAGAAAAGAGAAGGAGAACACCUCAGUCACCACAGCUGGACUUCGCUGCUUUUUUCAUUAAUAUUUCAUUAACCAAAUAAUUUACUUUAAUUGCAGUUUGGGGCAUUAUUGUAACAUAAAUAUUAAAUAUUAUUAAUAUAGCAUCCAACCAAGUAGGAAUGGGCUUAUGAAAAAAUACAACACUUGAUAAGAUUAAUUUUAAAUUUCUUCUUAGAAUCCCUGAUUUGUAUCAUAGCUGUUUAUUUCUUUAAAUUGAUGCUCUAAUGACCAAUAGGGGUUAAAUUAUAAUAUAAUCAUAAUCACAUGCAGUGAUGGCCACAGUAGCAUCUUUCUUCCAAAGAACCAGAGCUGCGUAAACUUAUUUUUAAGCUUAUUUGUGAAUUUACAUCACAGGUUCUUCCAAAUCACAACUGACAGUAAUGACCAGAGAGAGCACGUGAGAUACCAGCCGAAGAACAAUAAUAUAUUUGUCAGAUCUGAGCAAACCCAAAGAUGAUUUCCUAGAAGAUCCUCAAAGGGAACAAGUUGUGUGGGAAGGAGGGAAGGAAAAUACUAACUGGUGUGUUCAUGCUUGACUCUUCCCAAAACGUUUGAAAUCGAGACCAGACAGGGUUCCAUUUCCCAUGACUUCCUGUCAGCCCUCAACCUUUCUAUGUUGAAGAUAAAAGCCUGCCUGCUAGAAAUUCCUUUUAGAACUCUGUGGACAUAUAUGCACACAUGUAUAUCCCAAGCAGAUGGUUUAGUGCCUUCCGGUUUUCUGAGAGAUGCAUGUGCCAGACCUCAGAGGGUGAUAAGUUGUGAUCUGUUCACCAGACUCUUGGGGACAUCAGGUCAACAAAAACAUCUGACAAGUUAACAUCAAGGUUGGCAGGUGCAGUGGACGUUCAGGGGAAAGUUUCUGGGGAGCUCUGAAGACUUUUAGGUCACCCACAACUUCCCAAAAAAAUUCUUCUGGAACAAAAUGGGGUGUGAAAUGGAUCUCAGGAGGAAAUUUACACUAUCCCUUCACCCACGGGUCCUUGACUCGUUCUUGCGGUGACUUUGCCUCUCGUUUAGCUGUCCCCAAGGUCAACUCCAGAGCUGCUUCAGAUGAUAGCUCAUGGCUGGAGUCCUGAGCCCCAUCCUUCCUUUGUAGGACCACAUGAAACAGGGCCUCCCCAUCUCCCACCCUUACACCAGCCUGGAGAGGCUGUGUGUACAAAUGUGUGACAGGCCAAAGCAGGGAAGCAUUGAGGCUGGGGCGGGAAAGUUUCCUUCUGCCUGACACACUGCCAGGGGUAAGGGCUCAUAGUGCAGAACACAUCUGUGUCCAAGAAGAAGGCCAAUCGAGGCAGAAUCCACAGUGAGGACGAAGCGCCCCUCCCCUGUCCUCCCUGUUCUGCCCAGUGUCCCUCCAAGACCUUCCAAGCCCACUGUCCCACUGUCUUGCAAAUAACUGAAUGGCUGCCAGGUGGAUCAUAGCUUCAAAAUUUGUAUCCAUUUAUUUGUUUGCAGUACUGGAGGUUGAACCCAGAGUCUUGCCCUGAGCUGCAUCCCCGGACGUUUUCAUGUCCUUAUUUUGAGACAGGGCCUCAUUGAGUCACCCAGGCUGGGCUUGAACUUCUCCUAGCAGUGUCCCAGGUGGACGGCUGACUCUGCAGUGAGGUUUUCUAACCCUUCUCAUGAACAGCUGCUGUUCCCAGCUGCUGCUGCAGCAGAGCCAGGACCUUCAGAGCCCUGCCCUCCGAAUCGGGUCCCCAGCGCUGUGUGAACAAAGCUCUGCGCUGGGCUUUUAGAACAAGCAGCACUCUCUCGCAUCCUGAGGUUGCCUGGGCAGGUUCAGGCUCUGCUGAGCACCUGCCGUGGCGGGGCAGCCGCCUUUCCACUGUGUCCUCUGUGCAUGGCCAGGCCUGGCCAGCCGGAGUUCCAAUCUCCUCUCCACCUUCCUUGGUAUUGGGGAAUGGAGCUCAAAGCCUCAGAGCUGCAUCCUCGACCCUUUUUCUAAAUUUUGAGAUAGGGUCUCAUUAAGUUACUAAGUUGCCCAUGCUGGUUUAGAAGCUGUGAUCUUCCUGCCCCAGGCUCCCAGUGCCUGGCUCCAAAUGGUCUCUUUUUAUAGGGACAGCAGUCAGACUGGAUUAAGAGCCAAGUUAAAGCUGCAUUUUAGCAUAGUCACCUCUUUGAAGGCUCCGUCUCCAAAUACAGCCACACUGAUACACUGCAGCUUAGGGUUUCAACAUAGGAAUUUGGGGGAUGGGGUGCAUAGCUCACCCAGGACAGCACCCAGGGCCAAAGACCCCCGCCCCGUGCCAGGCCAUCACCCUGUCCCACACACAGCUCAUGGUGCGGUACAUCCUGCAGCUUUGGGGCAGAAGGUCUGGAAAGAAGCUCGGAAAUUCUCCCUCCAGCCUUGGUAGACUGUGUUAGUCUGCACAUUAAACCCUCCUAACCUUGGCUGUCAUCGAAGGCCGAACUUGCCACUCUGAUGUGGUCUCUGCAACUCCAAGGGACUCUUGUGUUCGUGCAGUUUAUAAGCUCUCCAGAUGGAGAAUGUGCACCCUGGAGGAAAUGAAUUUUGUUCCUGCCCCUGGGGAUGCCUGUGUCUCACCGCACAUCCCCAGGGUGCUCAUGUGCCGACCCUGCCCCAAUCACGAUGCCAUUUAGGGUGUGGGAAUCUAAGCUACCCAUUAAGUUCCAUUUCCUCGGCCUUGCAGAGAAAGAAACCUACAGUGCUUCCCCCAUCGGCUGGGUCCCCUGCUCCAGACUUUUGGGUGUACUUUAGGCUUGGCUGAGAAAAAUCGCCAUAAAAAGAGGAAAUCCACAUGCCCUCCUGCCUCCCCUCGCAGCUGCACUCCUGCCAGCACUGGCGUUUUCACUGCAGCCCUGAUAGUGGUGACGCAGGAUCAGUGAUGGUCCUACAAGCUGAAGACUUGGUGACAUUAUCUAGGGUUGCGUUAAGUGGUUUGUCUAAGGUCGCCCGGCAAGUGGUAAUAAAUCC
Molecule: long non-coding RNA, 6481 nt
Filed under: Heterocephalus glaber (naked mole-rat)
Lineage: Eukaryota; Metazoa; Chordata; Mammalia; Rodentia; Bathyergidae
Description: lncRNA (ENSHGLG00000032786.1)
Source: RNAcentral